RNAcentral lists this ribosomal RNA (1654 nucleotides) under Eirene ceylonensis. Its description in RNAcentral is "partial large subunit ribosomal RNA". The stretch from base 120 to 1558 matches the Rfam family "Bacterial large subunit ribosomal RNA". The record is from RNAcentral. Lineage: Eukaryota; Metazoa; Cnidaria; Hydrozoa; Leptothecata; Eirenidae.
CUGAAACAUCUUAGUAUUAAAAUAAGAAUCUUAUGAUAGUAUUGGCGAAUGAAAUCAUAAGUAAGAAUUUUUUUUAAUGGUUCGACAUUUGUAAAUAUACUGUUUUACCUAUAAUAAUAGUACUGUGAAGGAAAUAAAAAUAUGAUCGUAAAAUAACAAUGAUAAUCAUUUACCUUUUGUAUAAUGGGUUUACAAGAAAAAAUAUUAGCAAGCUACAAGGCUAAAGAAAUUAAAAAGUUAAUAUUACCCGAAACCAAGCGAUCUAAUUGUGAACAACUUUAUGAGUCAACUAAUAAAUGUAGAAAAAUUUUUAGAAGAUUUGCAAUUAGCAGCGAAAAACUAAUCGAGCUUGGAUAUAGCUGGUUCUCUACGAAAAUUAUAUUAGUAAUAAUAACAUAUUAGUUAUUAAGACAAUUAAUUAAAACAUUAAUUGUCAAAAAGAAAAAAAUCUUAAUCAAAAAUUAACAAACAAAAACUAUUUAUAAAAAAGAAAUUAAUUAUUAACACAAUAAAAAAGUGGGCUUAGAAACUGCCAAAUUUUAUAGAGUACGUAAUAGUUUAUUUAAUAAAAAAUUUGAUUUCUUUAAUUAAGUUAAACAAGAAUAUGAAAAUUUUGAAGAAAGUAGUAGAGUAUUUUAUAAUAUAUAAUGAAAAUAAUAAAAGAAAUAAUGUAAACAUGAAUAUUAAUAAAUUUAUUCCUAAAUUUUCUUAUAUUACCAAUGAAUAAGGUAAUACGGAGUCUCAAUAAAAAAGGACUAGUAAUAUUAAUACCCAAGAAAAAAUAUUAUGAUAAACCGUAAAAUCUCAAUCAAGAAGGAAUAAAAAAUUAAAAAGUUUUCUUUAAGAAACUCGGCAAAAUAGAAUAUCGACUGUUUACCAAAAACAUAGCCCUAGAUAAUUUCUAAGGUGUAACCUGCCCAGUGAUCUUAAAUUAUUAGUAUAAAAGACUAAAAAUGGGAUUAAAAGGACGCGGUAACCUUGACCGUGAUAAUGUAGCAUAAUCACUCGCCAUUUAAUUGGUGGAUAGUAUGAAUGGUUGAACGAAUAUUCCACUGUCUUAAAGAGAAUUAAAAGAAAUUGAAAUAAUAGUUAAGAUGCUAUUUAAAACUGUAAGACGAAAAGACCCUAUAGAGCUUAACUAUAAUCUCUUUACAAAACAGAAAAAAUAAGUUUAAAAAAUAAGGAGAUUGGUAGUUUAGUUGGGGCGACUGUCUUCUAGAUAAAACGAAGACAAGCAAUGUUAAUAAAUAACUUAUUGUAUAAUAUAAUAAUUUAACAAUUAUAAUUAUAGGCUAUAGUGACCCGUUAAUUCUGAAGAAAUAGAUUAACGAUCAAUUGAUAAAAGCUACCUUAGGGAUAACAGGAUAAUUUCAUUUUAGAGUCCCCAUCGAAAAUGAAGUUUGUCACCUCUAUGUUGAAUUAAGAUAUCCUGGUAAUGCAGAAGUUACCAAAGGUAGGUCUGUUCGACCUUUAAAAUCUUACAUGAUUUGAGUUCAUUCCGUCGCAAGACAGGAAGGUUUCUAUCUACAGUUAUAAAACUAAAGAGUCCUUAGUACGAAAGGAAUAGGAUAAUCGAAAAUCCAUUAAUAAUAUUUAAAUGAAAAUAUUGAAAGCCUCUAAACAUUAGAAUGAGUUUUUAACUCUCCACCAGCAU